GGUUUUCAAAUGAAGUAAGAAGUUUAGCAGUAAAACUAAACACAUUACAAAUACAAACCUCUGUCAGAUACUGAGCCUCAUGGAUCUUUAUUACACCUUAAAUACUGUUAUCACUGUUGUUGUUGUUGUUGUUAUGGUUGCUGGCGGCGGCGGCAUGGUUGUUGCUGUGAUGGUUGCUGUUUUCACUUCUCCUGUGCUUAAGCUGUGCAAUUUCCAAUUGUGUAUUCAUGAAGAACUGCAUUCUCUGCAAUUCCAUAUCUUUCGCAAAUUUCAUUCUCUGCUUCUCCAUCUCCACCAUUUGAUGCAGUUUCGCGGUCUCUGUUUGUUCAUAUGCUUCCCCAAAUUUUAGUAUUGCCUGUGUCAACUCCCUCACUGAAUUCCCCCAAUUCUUGUUUCCACUAGCUUCUCCAAUUCCUCCCUGCCUUAAUGCGCUUGAAUUCAGCAUUUCCUUCUGAAACCUUGGUCUCUUUUUUUGAAAUGUGCCUGGAGGAAAGCUGUCGGUUGAAGCAGGUGAAAGGUCCGGUUCAGACUCCGAUUCCGAUGUGUCUGAAUCCAUGUGAGGCCUUUUCCGGGACGGUUGCUUUUGUUUCUGCAGUUGUUGAUGUUGUCGGAGCUGAGGAAGGGACCUGACUCCCAUAGGAAUACCCAUAGGCACAUGUUGGUUACCUGAAUACAAAUUAGACGGUCCGGCAGCGACGGUAGGAUUGAUCUUAGCCGUCGGACCUAUCAACAUAUCGAGCUUAUCAAAGAAAGGCCACUUGCUUGGUCCUUGACCCGCAGCGAUCUUAGAUUUCUCCAGCUUGUAUUUCUUCUUUACAGUAUCAAUUCGAUUUUUGCACUGAAUAUCAGUUUUAGGCGUUUUUCUAUAAUCCUCCCGACUGCUAACAAUGUCAGCAACAUCUUUCCAGUGCUUCUGCUUCAAAUUACCUCUACUCAAUUCCAUGUAACGCUCACCCCAAGCCUCGAUCAGUACAGCCGUAGCCUCUUCACUCCAACAAUCCUCCCUUCCACCACCACUACCUCCACCGCCGCCAGACGCUCCAGCAGGUCUCGAUUGCUGUAUCGGUAGAGCCAACGUCAAGGUGUUCUGAGGAGGCGCUGAUGCUACCGUCACCGUUAUCCUCCCGUUAGAUCGUGGUGAUUCCGGAGAUCCAGAACCACCGGACUGAGUUUCUUCGUCGUUCUCCAUAAACUUUAACCGAUUCCGGUGCGCCGCCGAUCCGAGAGUUGAGUGAGAAGAUGAUGAAGAAGGAAUUUUUGGUUAGGGUUUCGGUUGACCGGCGGUAUAUAAUGAGGGGAGG
RNAcentral lists this unclassified non-coding RNA (1301 nucleotides) under Hevea brasiliensis (rubber tree). Lineage: Eukaryota; Viridiplantae; Streptophyta; Magnoliopsida; Malpighiales; Euphorbiaceae. The record is from RNAcentral.